GACGAACGCUGGCGGCGUGCUUAACACAUGCAAGUCGAACGGAAAGGCCCUGCUUUUGUGGGGUGCUCGAGUGGCGAACGGGUGAGUAACACGUGAGUAACCUGCCCUUGACUUUGGGAUAACUUCAGGAAACUGGGGCUAAUACCGGAUAGGAGCUCCUGCUGCAUGGUGGGGGUUGGAAAGUUUCGGCGGUUGGGGAUGGACUCGCGGCUUAUCAGCUUGUUGGUGGGGUAGUGGCUUACCAAGGCUUUGACGGGUAGCCGGCCUGAGAGGGUGGACGGCGACCAUGGGCCUACGAUACGGCCCAGACGCCUACGGGAGGCAGCAGUGGGGAAUAUUGCACAAUGGGCGGAAGCCUGAUGCAGAAACGCCGCGUGCGGGAUGACGGCCUUCGGGUUGUAAACCGCUUUCGCCUGUGACGAAGCGUGAGUGACGGUAAUGGGUAAAGAAGCACCGGCUAACUACGUG
RNAcentral lists this ribosomal RNA (468 nucleotides) under uncultured bacterium. Its description in RNAcentral is "partial 16S ribosomal RNA". It matches the Rfam family "Bacterial small subunit ribosomal RNA", at positions 28 to 507 of the family's 1533-position model. The record is from RNAcentral.